GAUGAACGCUGGCGGCGUGCCUAAUACAUGCAAGUCGAGCGAACGGACGAGAAGCUUGCUUCUCUGAUGUUAGCGGCGGACGGGUGAGUAACACGUGGAUAACCUACCUAUAAGACUGGGAUGACUUCGGGAAACCGGAGCUAAUACCGGAUAAUAUUUUGAACCGCAUGGUUCAAAAGUGAAAGACGGUCUUGCUGUCACUUAUAGAUGGAUCCGCGCUGCAUUAGCUAGUUGGUAAGGUAACGGCUUACCAAGGCAACGAUGCAUAGCCGACCUGAGAGGGUGAUCGGCCACACUGGAACUGAGACACGGUCCAGACUCCUACGGGAGGCAGCAGUAGGGAAUCCUCCGCAAUGGGCGAAAGCCUGACGGAGCAACGCCGCGUGAGUGAUGAAGGUCUUCGGAUCGUAAAACUCUGUUAUUAGGGAAGAACAUAUGUGUAAGUAACUGUGCACAUCUUGACGGUACCUAAUCAGAAAGCCACGGCUAACUACGUG
RNAcentral lists this ribosomal RNA (497 nucleotides) under uncultured bacterium. RNAcentral's name for it is "partial 16S ribosomal RNA". It matches the Rfam family "Bacterial small subunit ribosomal RNA", at positions 28 to 507 of the family's 1533-position model. The record is from RNAcentral.